RNAcentral lists this ribosomal RNA (491 nucleotides) under uncultured archaeon. RNAcentral's name for it is "bacterial SSU rRNA". It matches the Rfam family "Archaeal small subunit ribosomal RNA", at positions 323 to 814 of the family's 1478-position model. The record is from RNAcentral.
CUACGGGGUGCAGCAGGCGCGAAAACUUUACAAUGCUGGCAACAGCGAUAAGGGAACCUCGAGUGCCAGGUUACAAAUCUGGCUGUCGAGAUGCCUAAAAAGCAUUUCAUAGCAAGGGCCGGGCAAGACCGGUGCCAGCCGCCGCGGUAACACCGGCGGCUCGAGUGGUAACCGUUAUUAUUGGGUCUAAAGGGUCUGUAGCCGGCCGGAUAAGUCUCUUGAGAAAUCUGGCAGCUUAACUGUCAGGCUUUCAGGAGAUACUGUCUGGCUCGAGGCCGGGAGAGGUGAGAGGUACUUCAGGGGUAGGAGUGAAAUCUUGUAAUCCUUGAAGGACCACCAGUGGCGAAGGCGUCUCACCAGAACGGACCUGACGGCAAGGGACGAAAGCUAGGGGCACGAACCGGAUUAGAUACCCGGGUAGUCCUAGCCGUAAACGAUACUCGCUAGGUGUCGGCCACGGUGCGACCGUUGUCGGUGCCGUAGGGAAGCCG